CAGGCACAUCAUAUCCAUAACACCUGUGCACUUGUCGGAUGGCUUAGUGAAGACCGCAAGGUUGAAUCUAUCCAUCUACUUUACAUAACAAUUCUGUAACAAAUGUAGUCUUAUUAUAACAUAAUAAAACUUUCAACAACGGAUCUCUUGGCUCUCGCAUCGAUGAAGAACGCAGCGAAAUGCGAUAAGUAAUGUGAAUUGCAGAAUUCAGUGAAUCAUCGAAUCUUUGAACGCACCUUGCGCUCCUUGGUAUUCCGAGGAGCAUGCCUGUUUGAGUGUCAUGAAAACCCUCAACCCUAGAUUGGUUAAAACCUUUCUUUGGUUUGGAUUUGGACGUUUGCCGAUGAUAAGUCGGCUCGUCUUAAAAGUAAUAGCUGGAUCUGUCUCGCGACAUGGUUUGACUUGGCGUAAUAAGUAUUUCGCUAAGGACAUCUUCGGAUGGCCGCGUUGCAGGACUAAAGACCGCUUUCUAAUCCAUUGAUCUUCGGAUUAAUACUCUUGACAUCUGGCCUCAAAUCAGGUAGGACUACCCGCUGAACUUAAGCAUAUCAAUAAGCGGAGGAA
RNAcentral lists this ribosomal RNA (564 nucleotides) under Cryptococcus sp. BM11. RNAcentral describes it as "eukaryotic LSU rRNA". The stretch from base 128 to 281 matches the Rfam family "5.8S ribosomal RNA". The record is from RNAcentral. Lineage: Eukaryota; Fungi; Basidiomycota; Tremellomycetes; Tremellales; Cryptococcaceae.